RNAcentral lists this ribosomal RNA (774 nucleotides) under uncultured Neocallimastigales. RNAcentral's name for it is "partial large subunit ribosomal RNA". It matches the Rfam family "Eukaryotic large subunit ribosomal RNA", at positions 26 to 616 of the family's 3401-position model. Lineage: Eukaryota; Fungi; Neocallimastigomycota; Neocallimastigomycetes; Neocallimastigales. The record is from RNAcentral.
CGCAUCUGUGCAUGCAGCAUAUCAAUAAGCGGAGGAAAAGAAACUAACAAGGAUUCCCCUAGUAACGGCGAGUGAAGCGGGAAGAGCUCAAAUUUGAAAUCUUAAAGGGUUUCCCUUUACGAAUUGUAGUUUAAAGAAGUGUUUUCUGUUGAGGUUUUGGUAAAAGUUCUUUGGAAUAGGACAUCAUAGAGGGUGAGAAUCCCGUAUUUGACCUUUACUUUCAACUUUGUGAUACACUUUCAAAGAGUCGGAUUGUUUGGGAAUGCAGUCCAAAAUGGGUGGUAAAUUUCAUCUAAAGCUAAAUAUUGGCGAGAGACCGAUAGCGAACAAGUACCGUGAGGGAAAGAUGAAAAGAACUUUGAAAAGAGAGUUAAACAGUACGUGAAAUUGUCAAAAGGGAAGCGUUUGACACCAGUGUUGUUUUUCUGAAAAUCAAUUAAAGAACUGUUUAUGCUAAGUUGUUUAGACUUUAUCAGCUAACUGUUUAGUUUUGAGCUUUUCUUUAAUGCACUUUUCAGUUAACAAGUCAACAUCAAUUUCUUUUGCUGUAAAAAAGCUUGAGGAAGGUGGCUUGAGAUUCGUCUUAAGUGUUUAUAGCCUCUUGCCUAUGCAGUCGGAGAGAUUGAGGUCUGCAGCGUAGAUCCUUCGGGGCUAAAUGCAUUUGUGCUAAGUUAUAACAUUUUAUAGACAACUUGUUGACUAUGAUUUGUCUUGUAGCUUACUCGCUUAUGUUAUUUUACCUACGCUUAGGAUGUUGAGCGCAUGUCUCUCUCU